RNAcentral lists this transfer RNA (74 nucleotides) under Spirochaetia bacterium. RNAcentral describes it as "tRNA-Val". It matches the Rfam family "tRNA". From Rfam's summary of the family: Transfer RNA (tRNA) molecules are approximately 80 nucleotides in length. Lineage: Bacteria; Pseudomonadati; Spirochaetota; Spirochaetia. RNAcentral also lists the same sequence under 1 other name. The record is from RNAcentral.
GGGCGAUUAGCUCAGUUGGUUAGAGCGCCUGCCUUACAAGCAGGAAGUCACAAGUUCGAAUCUUGUAUCGCCCA